This 85-nucleotide transfer RNA is filed under the name Felis catus (domestic cat). It matches the Rfam family "tRNA". From Rfam's summary of the family: Transfer RNA (tRNA) molecules are approximately 80 nucleotides in length. RNAcentral also lists the same sequence under 1 other name. Lineage: Eukaryota; Metazoa; Chordata; Mammalia; Carnivora; Felidae. The record is from Rfam by way of RNAcentral.
GCCUGGGUGGCUCAGUCAGUUAAGCGCCUGACUUUGGCUCAGGUCAUGAUCUCAUGGUUCAUGGGUUCAAGCCCCGCCUCAGGCU